UACAGAGGUCUCAAGCGUUGUUCGGAUUCAUUGGGCGUAAAGGGUGCGUAGGCGGCGCGGUAAGUCGGGUGUGAAAUCUUGGAGCUUAACUCCGAAACUGCAUUCGAUACUGCCGUGCUUGAGGACUGGAGAGGAGAUCGGAAUUCACGGUGUAGCAGUGAAAUGCGUAGAUAUCGUGAGGAAGACCAGUGGCGAAGGCGGAUCUCUGGACAGCUCCUGACGCUGAGGCGCGAAGGCUAGGGGAGCAAACGGG
This 253-nucleotide ribosomal RNA is filed under the name uncultured bacterium. RNAcentral's name for it is "partial 16S ribosomal RNA". It matches the Rfam family "Bacterial small subunit ribosomal RNA", at positions 524 to 776 of the family's 1533-position model. The record is from RNAcentral.